CAUCUGGCCCCGGUUCUGAGAUGUGGGGAGUGCUGGCGGGCUCGGGGGUUGCCUGGAGGCUGCUGCCUGCACACAGAAGGCGGAUGCAGCUUGGGUGCCCAGGCGGGCUGGAGGUGCAUGGCCUGGUAGGCCUCGGGAUCGCCAGCGCGCCCAGCCUGAGGGGCCCCAGGCCGUGCCUCCCGCCCAUUCCUCCACCGGAGGGGGAUCGGGGUCGCUGGCAUGGGCACUUGGCAGUCACCCCGGAUGGGGUUGAGCAGGGGUUCUCAGUUUUCGCCUCUGUGCAGCCGCCGCCGGGCAGAAUGCCUGGCUUGGCCGCAGUCACUGCUACACCUAGCGGGUCGGGCGGGCCGGGGGGUGAAAGCGCUGGGAGGCGGGUGCCUUCUCGCCCUUUGGCGCCUCUGGGCCCCACGGCUUGUCGGCCUCCGGCGCGCAGGGCUCCCCAGCAUCCUGGGCGCCGGCCCGCUGCCUGCACAAAGUCAACUCAGACAGGAUGAACUUCGGUUGCCUUGUCUGGCUGGGCUGCCAGGCGGGGCAGCUGACCUGCUGAUGGGGUGACUUUCUUCAUCUUCUUGCCCACAGGACAGCGGGCUGGGAAGCCAGGGGCCGCCGGGACCUGGGGCUGGAAACCACAUCUGCCCACAGCCGCAGCCUCCUGCACCUGUCAUCCUGGCGGCGCCCUGACGUCGGAGAAGCAGCAGGCGCGGAGCUCCUGCAGCGGGCACCGCUGCAGCAACCCGACCCGGCGUAGGCGGCAGUGGAAGGCGGCCUGCUAGCACAGCUCCCGCGGCCCCAGGACCAGGGGUGCGGCCAGCACCGCCCUCACUCCCCGCGUCUCGUGGAUAUUGCCCUCCCUGGAGGCGGCUGGACCUAAGCGAGGCUCGCAGCGAUCGGCCCCGCGAAGACUCGCAUGCAGGGCUCAGGAUCCCGCAUUCUGGCGCCGCGGCACCGCACCUUUCAGCAGCCCUGCUCCUCUUCUUGUUGGUAAACUUUUGUCACUCUGCCAUGAAAAGCAUCCAGGCGUGCUUGAUUUCGACAUUGCAUGCACGCUCAGCCGAGCUCAUCAGACGGGCGGUUGUCCCCAGAGCCCGCGGGUAGCUUGUUCCUGGGCGGCGGCUCCUUCUGGAUGCAGCUCCUUGUGGGCCUACCAGGCUUGGUGGAGCCAAGGCCCGCCGUGGCCGGCAGACCUGUGGAGAGGAAGAGUAAGGCGGGCUCUGCAGGGCAGUGGGUCGGGACCAUGAGAGAGGCGGGUCAGUCUGGGCUCCAAGCUCAGCCUCUCGGAUUCCCCGGGACCCACGGCUUACAAUGCGCUUAAAUCCCACGCCUCGCCCGAGAGACAGCACGUCACCGUCACCGCCUAGCGCCCCUGACCCGCUCCCACUCCGCUGCAGCGGAGGGUGUGUGAGGGAGAGGGACGCAGGGAGGGAAAAGCGUUGGGAGGGCAAACAUCUUUUCAUAAGCUUUUCCCCUUCUAUAUGCCAUCUCUGAUGGGAGCCUCUUUAGAUCUUUCAUCCAUUUACUAAUUGGGUUGUUCGAUUUCUUAUUGUUGAGUUGUAAGUGGUUUUUAAUGGUCUGGAUGCCAGACAGGUGUUUUGCAAAUAUUUUCUCCGUCUGUGGCUUGUUUCUCCAUUCUCUUAUUUCCUUUCCCAGAGCAAAAGUUUUUAAUUGUAACGACUUCAUACCAAUAUCUUCUUUCAUGGUAGAAAUUUGUCUUUUAUGUACUUUAGUGUUGUAUCUACAAAGUAAUUGCCAAACCCAAAGUUACCUAAAUAUCCCUUUUGUUAUUUUACAGAAGUUUUACAGCUUUUGGAUUUAAAUUUAGGUCUAAAAAUUGAAUUCAUAAAAGUAGAGAGUAUAAUGAUGCUUACCAGAGGCUGUGUUGCUGGGGAGAAAAAUGGGAAGUUGUUCACAGAUGCAAAGAUUCAGUUAAACCAGAGAAAUGCGUUUUGAAAUCUAUUGCACAGCAGGAUGACUAUAGUCAAUAAUAAUGUACUGUAUAUUUAAAUAACAAAAAGUAAAUUUCAAAUAUCUAACCACAAAAAAUAAAAUUGAGGUGAUGGAUAUUUUAUCCUCGAUGUAGUCAUUCCUCAUUUUAUACACAUAUCCAAGCAUCACAUUGUACCCCAUAAAUGUAUACAAUUGUGGUUUGACAAUUUAAAAUAUUAUUAACUUAAAAAUGUGUCGUUCGAGUUAAUUUUUGAGGAGCAAGGUCUGUGUCUCAAUUCUUUUUUUUGCAUAUAUGUAUAUAUACAUACACGCAAUGGAUUCAUCACUGUUUUUGAAAAAGCUACCCUUUCUCCCUUGAAUUGCCUUUACCUUUUUGUAAAAGAUCAAUUGACUGUGUUUGUGCACUCCUAUUUCUGAGUUCUCUAUUCUGUUCCAUUGAUCACUUUGCAAGUCCUUGAACUUU
Molecule: long non-coding RNA, 2407 nt
Filed under: Pan troglodytes (chimpanzee)
Lineage: Eukaryota; Metazoa; Chordata; Mammalia; Primates; Hominidae
Description: long non-coding RNA NONPTRT017478
Source: RNAcentral